Molecule: long non-coding RNA, 659 nt
Organism: Oncorhynchus tshawytscha (Chinook salmon)
Lineage: Eukaryota; Metazoa; Chordata; Actinopteri; Salmoniformes; Salmonidae
Exons: 3
Source: RefSeq, a predicted model, not a curated record
UAAUGUCUGAGCAGAUGGAGAGCCUCAGCGGCAUCACGACGUGUACAUUAUGUAUGUGUUUGUGUAUCGAGGACGCCUCUCUACCGUUGCUGUCAAAUCCAAGGUAACAUAUCUGCCCGUCCGUCUCCAGUCAGCUGCAUUAGAGAACUACAGGUCUCUAUUCUGAGAUAAUCAUCGUACUAAUGUAAUAAAGACGAUAGACAGACAUUCUUCUGGUUGCACUGCUGUAACAGUGACUGACCGCAGGGACACCAGCGGUACAAGAGGACCAGAGGAGUCGGAUCACACAGAGGUGUUAUAAAUAGCCGUCGUUCCAAGCAUCCUGGUCACACAGGACCAGGUUAAUUACAGUUGACACUGACACGGUAUAUAGGUGCUGUUCCCUGAGCCUCUGAGCAGGUUGGUCUCAAGUUUGACUGUGUACAGUAGGCUACCCACUGAGAAAGACAUCAUGUCUGUGGUGGUAAAGAUACCAGAGGCGGUGGGGAUGGCCCCACUGGUGAUGGGGGGGGGCUGUGAUGCCAACCUGAUGAAAAAUGUGUGGGAGAUCCGAGCCAGAGACUACAACUCCAAAAUCACAAGUGAGCAGGAGAGACAGGAGCAGAGUGCUCUGGCAACGCCGGUGGUAGCUGGUCCACUGCAGGACGUUGAGGUGCGGG